UAAGUUGGGAGGAAGGGCAGUUACCUAAUACGUGAUUGUUUUGACGUUCCCGACAGAAUAAGCACCGGCUAACUCUGUGCCAGCAGCCGCGGUAAUACAGAGGGUGCAAGCGUUAAUCGGAAUUACUGGGCGUAAAGCGCGCGUAGGUGGUUAGUUAAGUUGGAUGUGAAAUCCCCGGGCUCAACCUGGGAACUGCAUUCAAAACUGACUGACUAGAGUAUGGUAGAGGGUGGUGGAAUUUCCUGUGUAGCGGUGAAAUGCGUAGAUAUAGGAAGGAACACCAGUGGCGAAGGCGACCACCUGGA
Molecule: ribosomal RNA, 305 nt
Filed under: Bacillus pseudomycoides
Lineage: Bacteria; Bacillati; Bacillota; Bacilli; Caryophanales; Bacillaceae
Description: bacterial SSU rRNA
Rfam family: Bacterial small subunit ribosomal RNA
Source: RNAcentral